AUGUGUGUACGUGUACGGAGUGGAAAAGUUGAAGAAAAGGGGGGAAAAAGAUAAAAACGAAGUGGUGUUAGGGCGAUGGUUAAUGCGAGUCGGAGACUUUCGGAAAGUAUGGUUGAAGGGAUGCAAUCAAGGAUUAAUAAGUUUUAUUUUUACUAAAGCAGUUAAACUAAUAUUAGACCUACAAUUAUUGAUUUGGGUUGGAAUCGGAUCACAAAUUAUGGAAUACUUCCGAGUGAAAACGAAAACAAAAGAUACAAUGCAGCAUAAUAUUUUAAUGAUGGCUGGUGUUUAUUUUUGAAUCUGACUCAACGAAGUGCGGCGAUCAAGGAGCUCGAUAUCACGGUUUCGGGCGUAUUUACGCAAACUAUGGCGGGAUGUUAAUAAACUGAAAAAUGUUGGCAUCGGGAUCUGCCGUAGGAAAUGCGGUCCGACAUAUAUUCAUUAUGUUUACUAAAGCAGUUAGACUAAUAUUAGACCUACAAUUAUUGAUUCGGGGUAAAAUUAAAUCACACAACUUCUGGAAUUGUUCGAGUGAAUACGAAAACGAAAAAACAAUUCAGCAUUUUUUGAAUCGACUCAAACGAAGAAUGGCAAUAGAGGCUUGAAAACGAGGAAAAAGGCCAAAAAAGAGAACCAUAUACAUUUGAAAUUGACGUGGUUGCUGGUCGUUUAACGCAACUGGACUACAGGGCUUUGCAAGGGUAGAAGAUAUUGUUACUGCUGGUGGUCGGGUAAAGGCUGGUCGCUGUAAAUUGAGACAGGACUGAAUGUACAGGAGAGAAGACAAUUCCACAUAACAGUUGGACCACAUUUCGCAGAACAAUAUAACUGAAAGUAUUUAUCUACACAAAAAAUGACGUAUAUCUAUGAAGAACAUUGAACGAAUCGUCGUGAGGAAAGAAAUUGUUUGUCAAAAUUCACAAAUACAAACUGUACUGAGCUGUUUUGGAUCAACUAUCAUCGCAUUCACAUAGUUCACAUUAUUAUUUAGUGAUACUCUGCGCAUUCACAUAUAUUCAGUGUUUCUCAAACGGUUGGACGAGCCUCGCAAUGGGGGCGUAUACCUUAUUUUGGGGGUAGAGAGGGAGCUGAUUAAAAACAUAAAUAUUUGUUGAAUUUGAUCUUGCCUGCCUUAUUUUAUAUAUUUCCUUCUCUUUAUUGUUCAAAGAUUGCGAUUCCAUUCCAUCAACGUUUUUUUUAAUGAGACCUACUUUCGCCUUGCUAACGAUAAGCUCUGUUAUUAAGUUAUUUGAGGUUAAGCGCGAGACUUGGACAAAUUCCAAAAAAAUGGCUCGAUUAAAAAGUUUGAGAACCACUGAAUAAGUGGAGCAUUUUGGUAAUGCAUUGCGAAUCGAGGUGGUGGAGUCCGUCAUCUUGAUUUUAAAGUCUACUGAAGGCCUGUCGAAAUUUAUAUUGAUUUGUGGUAGCAGUGUAUGCCGAUUAAAGUCUAUAUAUGACGAGGAAAACGGCGAAGGUGAAUUCCACUCAAAUUUAAUUAGCCCGUUGUAAUGUAAUGCAUACAAGUAAAUAUUAAUUUCGUGAUUAUUUCUAAAAUAUAGAUAGCACUUUGAAGCUGAAGCGAUAGAAAAUUUCACACGUAAGAAUUUAUCAGUAAUUUUUGUCAAAAGUAAGGUGUAUAAAUGACCUGUGCGGCCUUCAGCUUGACCGCAAGUUCCGAGACUACAUCCAAAUUUCAAACUCGAUUUCGAAAGUUUAUCAAUAAUUUUGUCACCAAAACUAAGCUGCAAUGCAAGUUUUUGAGAAUACAUUCAAAUUACGAAUUUUAAAACGCAAAUUCAUUUUGUUCAUUAUGAAGCUGAAGACGCCGUACUCGUAUUCACUUUGUGUAACAUACCCAUGUUUGCUUGUAUUUACUGUUUCUGUUGUCUUAAUAUUUUCCUUGACGUCAUGAAUUCUUUUCAAGAUGAACUUGACCUUGAUUGUUAACUUGUGCUUUAUUACGUUUGAUCCUUGGCAAAACAAUAAAAUAUCCUCUUAAAUCAUGACA
Non-coding RNA from Styela clava, 2008 nucleotides. Lineage: Eukaryota; Metazoa; Chordata; Ascidiacea; Stolidobranchia; Styelidae. The record is from RefSeq and is a predicted model, not a curated record.